RNAcentral lists this ribosomal RNA (468 nucleotides) under uncultured bacterium. RNAcentral describes it as "partial 16S ribosomal RNA". It matches the Rfam family "Bacterial small subunit ribosomal RNA", at positions 28 to 507 of the family's 1533-position model. The record is from RNAcentral.
GACGAACGCUGGCGGCGCGCCUAACACAUGCAAGUCGAACGGAGUCAAGAGGAGCUUGCUUUUCUUGACUUAGUGGCGAACGGGUGAGUAACGCGUGAGUAGCCUGCCCUGGAGUGGGGGACAACAGUUGGAAACGACUGCUAAUACCGCAUAAGCCCACGGAUCCGCAUGGAUCUGCGGGAAAAGGAUUUAUUCGCUUCAGGAUGGACUCGCGUCCAAUUAGCUAGUUGGUGAGGUAACGGCCCACCAAGGCGACGAUUGGUAGCCGGACUGAGAGGUUGAACGGCCACAUUGGGACUGAGACACGGCCCAGACUCCUACGGGAGGCAGCAGUGGGGGAUAUUGCACAAUGGGGGAAACCCUGAUGCAGCGACGCCGCGUGGAGGAAGAAGGUUUUCGGAUUGUAAACUCCUGUCGUUAGGGACGAUAAUGACGGUACCUAACAAGAAAGCACCGGCUAACUACGUG